AAAAGGUGCCCCGGGAACAGGACUCCCUUUGCAGGGCCCCGAGGAUUGAUGAGAAUCCCCCAUCCCCAACCACCCAGAGGAUAAGCAGGUGUGGAAAUGAUGGCUUAGCAAGAUUAUAUGACUGGCCCAGGCAUCCAGAUAACCACCAGCACUCCCCGAGGCCAUUGCCACUUCAAGCCAGCUGUUAGAAUGUGUGCUAACCCUGUCCCCACUCAUUCCUUCCAGCACCUUGUUCCGGUCAGUGGUGGCAUUCUAACUCCACUUUCCAAUAAAGAAACUACCCAGAGAAGGUGGUCAUACACC
Molecule: long non-coding RNA, 303 nt
Filed under: Rattus norvegicus (Norway rat)
Lineage: Eukaryota; Metazoa; Chordata; Mammalia; Rodentia; Muridae
Description: long non-coding RNA NONRATT006682
Source: RNAcentral